AAACUCGUAUUAAUACCGCAUACGACCUACGGGAGAAAGGGGGCAGUUUACUGCUCUCGCUAUUAGAUGAGCCUAAGUCGGAUUAGCUAGAUGGUGGGGUAAAGGCCUACCAUGGCGACGAUCUGUAGCUGGUCUGAGAGGAUGAUCAGCCACACCGGGACUGAGACACGGCCCGGACUCCUACGGGAGGCAGCAGUGGGGAAUAUUGGACAAUGGGGGAAACCCUGAUCCAGCCAUGCCGCGUGUGUGAAGAAGGCCUUUUGGUUGUAAAGCACUUUAAGCAGUGAAGAAGACUCCGUGGUUAAUACCCACGGACGAUGACAUUAGCUGCAGAAUAAGCACCGGCUAACUCUGUGCCAGCAGCCGCGGUAAUACAGAGGGUGCAAGCGUUAAUCGGAAUUACUGGGCGUAAAGGGAGCGUAGGUGGCUCUAUAAGUCAGAUGUGAAAUCCCCGGGCUCAACCUGGGAACUGCAUCUGAAACUGUAGAGCUAGAGUAUGUGAGAGGAAGGUAGAAUUCCAGGUGUAGCGGUGAAAAUGCGUAGAGAUCUGGAGGAAUACCGAUGGCGAAGGCAGCCUUUCUGGCAUAAUACUGACACUGAGGCUCGAAAAGCGUGGGUAGCAAACAGGAUUAGAUACCCUGGUAGUCCACGCCGUAAACGAUGUCUACUAGGUCGUUGGGGUC
This 683-nucleotide ribosomal RNA is filed under the name Psychrobacter sp. Its description in RNAcentral is "bacterial SSU rRNA". It matches the Rfam family "Bacterial small subunit ribosomal RNA", at positions 154 to 831 of the family's 1533-position model. The record is from RNAcentral. Lineage: Bacteria; Pseudomonadati; Pseudomonadota; Gammaproteobacteria; Moraxellales; Moraxellaceae.